Molecule: ribosomal RNA, 492 nt
Filed under: uncultured bacterium
Lineage: Bacteria
Description: partial 16S ribosomal RNA
Rfam family: Bacterial small subunit ribosomal RNA
Source: RNAcentral
AGUGAACGCUGGCGGUAGGCCUAACACAUGCAAGUCGAACGGCAGCACAGUAAGAGCUUGCUCUUACGGGUGGCGAGUGGUGGACGGGUGAUGAAUACAUCGGAAUCUACUUUUUCGUGGGGGAUAACGUAGGGAAACUUACGCUAAUACCGCAUACGACCUCCGGCUGAAAGCAGUGGAUCUUCGAACCUUGCUCGAUUGAAUGAGCCGAUGUCGGAUUAGCUAGUUGGCGGGGUACAGGCCCACCAAGGCGACGAUCCGUAGCUGGUCUGUGAGGUAGAUCAGCCAGACUGGAGCUGAGACACGGUCCAGACUCCUACGGGAGGCAGCAGUGGGGAAUAUUGGACAAUGGGCGCAAGCCUGAUCCAGCCAUACCGCGUGGGUGAAGAAGGCCUUCGGGUUGUAAAGCCCUUUUGUUGGGAAAGAAAAGCAGCAGGUUAAUACCCCGCUGUUCUGACGGUACCCAAAGAAUAAGCACCGGCUAAAUUCGUG